This 318-nucleotide long non-coding RNA is filed under the name Olea europaea (common olive). RNAcentral describes it as "long non-coding RNA (OEUR_LNC007389)". Lineage: Eukaryota; Viridiplantae; Streptophyta; Magnoliopsida; Lamiales; Oleaceae. The record is from RNAcentral.
GUGGCUGCUGUUGACCACCGUAUCCAGUUUGAGUCGGUGGUGCUCCAUAAGGUGGGGGACCGUACCCUGGCUGAGAUGUCAGAUAACCUGAUGAUGGUCGCUGGGUACCAGAAUCUGUCUGGGGAUAACCUGGCUGAGUAGGUGGAGGCUGAGAGUGAGCAUAGCUAGGCUGAACUGGAGGCUGAGAAUACCCUCCUUGGGCACUUGGUGACUGCUGUGGCUGCCCAUAAGCUGGCUGACUACUCGGAAGUUUUUGACCUUGAGGUGGUCCAUAGCCUGCCGGCGGUUGGGUUCCAUAAGCACCCUGCGAAGUUGGGG